Long non-coding RNA from Bos taurus (domestic cattle), 592 nucleotides. The record is from Ensembl. NCBI's taxonomy places the organism in Eukaryota, Metazoa, Chordata, Mammalia, Artiodactyla, Bovidae.
UGAGCACCUGUUUCCGACAGGGGUGCAAGUGGAAGACUCUGGAGCUUGGACGCCUCAGUAUGGAAGAGCCUGGCUCUACUGCUUACUGUCUGGGUGACUGGAGGAAACUCAGCUGUAAAAUGAGAUGGGGGGCUGAUAUCUAUUUUGCAGAUUCCCUCCCCGCUCAUCUCCUAGAGGGUGUGUGAGUACUUAAGAGGUGCCAUCUGCAAGGUCCUCACCUAUAUACCAUCGGUCGUGGCCAACUGUGUGCUGGGAUUCUAAGAUAAUUGCUGGGCUUCUGGUAGAAUUAUUUCAAGAUUUUCCUUCUGGUCAUCUUCAGCUUUAAAUUCCAUGUUAACAUAUAUGUGAAAAAUCUAUUAGAAGUCCCGCUGAGCUGGUAUUUUUUGCACCCUAUUUCUUAAGGAGGCCGAUGCCGUUGGCCGUUCCUGGAAAUGAAUCUGGAGGAAGCCACUUGUUCUUCAUUCAGGCAAAUGCAUGAAAUGUUCCAAAAGUACGUCCAUGCCCUUCUGAUUUUCCUCAGGGGAUCCUGACCGACCCUGUGAUAUGCCCUUUUCCAAACCUGCAUGCUUGACCAGCUUGAACUUUGACCUCC